This 82-nucleotide transfer RNA is filed under the name Clostridia bacterium. Its description in RNAcentral is "tRNA-Leu". It matches the Rfam family "tRNA". From Rfam's summary of the family: Transfer RNA (tRNA) molecules are approximately 80 nucleotides in length. Their secondary structure includes four short double-helical elements and three loops (D, anti-codon, and T loops). The record is from RNAcentral. Lineage: Bacteria; Bacillati; Bacillota; Clostridia.
GCGGGCGUGGCGGAAUGGCAGACGCGCUUGUUUAAGGGGCAAGUGGGAAACCGUGUGGGUUCGACUCCCACCGCCCGCACCA